CCUACGGGAGGCAGCAGUGGGGAAUAUUGCACAAUGGGCGAAAGCCUGAUGCAGCAACGCCGCGUGAGCGAUGAAGGCCUUCGGGUUGUAAAGCCCUGUCCUCAAGGAAGAUAAUGACGGUACUUGAGGAGGAAGCCCCGGCUAACUACGUGCCAGCAGCCGCGGUAAUACGUAGGGGGCUAGCGUUAUCCGGAAUUACUGGGCGUAAAGGGGGCGUAGGUGGUUUCUUGAGUCAGAGGUGAAAUCCCCGCGGGCAACGUGGGAACUGCCUUUGAAACUGGGUAACUGGAGUGUGUGAGAGGAUAGUGGAAUGCGUGGUGUAGCGGUGAAAUGCAUAGAUAUCACGCAGAACUCCGAUUGCGAAGGCAGCAUACCGGCGCCCUACUGACGCUGAGGCACGAAAGCGUGGGUAUCGAACAGGAUUAGAUACCCCUGUAGUC
RNAcentral lists this ribosomal RNA (440 nucleotides) under uncultured bacterium. RNAcentral describes it as "partial 16S ribosomal RNA". It matches the Rfam family "Bacterial small subunit ribosomal RNA", at positions 338 to 795 of the family's 1533-position model. The record is from RNAcentral.